ACUGCUCAGUAACACGUGGCUAACCUACCCUCAGGACAGGGACAAACCCGGGAAACUGGGGCUAAUACCCGAUAGGCGAGGAUGCCUGGAAUGGUUUCUCGCUCAAAGGACCUUGGAUACAUGCUUCCAAGUCGCCUAAGGAUGAGUCUGCGGUCGAUUAGCUUGUUGGUGGGGUAACUGCCUACCAAGGCGAUGAUCGAUACGGGCUCUUAGCGGAGUUGCCCGGAGAAGGAAUCUGAGACACUAUUCCUAGCUCUACGGAGUGCAGCAGUCGCGGAACUUUUACAAUGCACGAAAGUGUGAUAAAGCAAGCCAAAGUGCUUAUCGUUUAGAUAAGCUUUUUUUCGAUGUAAAAAUUCGGAAGAAUAAGGACUGGGAAAGACUGGUGCCAGCCGCCGCGGUAAUACCAGCAGUUCAAGUUGCAUCCCUUUUUAUUGGGUCUAAAACAUCCGUAGCUUGCCGUUUAAGUCUCUUGUGAAAUCCUACGUCUCAAGCGUGGUGAAGGGCAGGAGAUACUGGACGGCUAGAGAUCGGUAGACGUAAGAAGUACGCGACGGGUAACGGUCAAAUGUGUUAAUCCGUCGUGGACUAACGAUGAGCGAAGGCAUCUUACGAGGACGAAUCUGACAGUGAGGGAUGAAGGCCAGGGGCGCAAAACGGAUUAGAUACCCGUGUAGUCCUGGCAGUAAACACUGCUCACUAAACAUCGGGCCCUCUUCGGGAGGAUCCGGUGCUGAAGGGAAGCCGAAGAGUGAACUACCUGGGAAGUAUAGUCGCAAGAUCGAAACUUAAAGGAAUUGGCGGGGGAGCAC
Molecule: ribosomal RNA, 812 nt
Filed under: uncultured archaeon
Lineage: Archaea
Description: bacterial SSU rRNA
Rfam family: Archaeal small subunit ribosomal RNA
Source: RNAcentral